Molecule: ribosomal RNA, 253 nt
Filed under: uncultured bacterium
Lineage: Bacteria
Description: partial 16S ribosomal RNA
Rfam family: Bacterial small subunit ribosomal RNA
Source: RNAcentral
UACGUAGGGUGCGAGCGUUGUCCGGAUUUAUUGGGCGUAAAGAGCUUGUAGGCGGCUCGUCGCGUCGGGUGUGAAAACUUGCGGCUUAACCGCAAGCCUGCACCCGAUACGGGCGGGCUAGAGUUCGGCAGGGGAGACUGGAAUUCCUGGUGUAGCGGUGGAAUGCGCAGAUAUCAGGAGGAACACCAGUGGCGAAGGCGGUUGCCUGGAGCUUUGCUGACGCUGAGGAGCGAAAGCAUGGGGAGCAAACAGG